CUAGACCAUCCUAAUUUUGGACCGUCCAGGGCUGCUACACCCCUUGGCCGCAUAUGGUGUUCAUAUAUAUACUAAGUCAUGAUCUUUUAAGCAUCGAUAUUUAGCUUAUAUUAAGUAUCGAGUUGCGUGGCACACUACAAUAGUGGUGAAUGAUAAUGGUUAGAUUUAAAAUUAAUUACAUCACCCAUUGUAGUUUGACACCUGAGUAUGGCACAGGUACUUAUUAGAUCAAAUCCGUGUAUAUAUAAAGAACUAUAUGGCUUGUAUAUCGCAACUAACCUCAAGAAAGUCCUUAUGGAACCGAUCAGGGAACCAAAGCUUCUUAUGAGCUCCAACUUUGAGAAGUGCCCGGCAGCCCUUAACGGUGGUCGGCAACAAAAGCUCCGCCGAUGAAUUGAACCCAAGUCUGCUAAAUGUUGCACGGCUAAUGGAGUCCGUCAUAGCCACAACUGAACCAGAAACCGCCAGUGCCUCCACCAAAUCAGGGUACAAUUCCGCCAUCUUAAACGCAACCAUACCGCCGUAGCUAAAUCCAACCACCGUGCACUUUUCAAUCCCCAACUUCCUCAGCCCCUUGGCCAGACACUCCGCCUGAAACGUCGGCGACCUGUCGGAGCUGUCCGUGAUUGAACCGCCGAAAAAGAGCAGGUCCGGCACGUAAACUGAGUACUUUUUUGUCAAUGAACCCACCUGGAAUUGCCAGGUGACAAUGCCGUCGGCCGCAAAGCCGUGCACCAGUACCACCACGGGUUUUGUUGGUUUGGCAGUGGAGUCGGCGGAGGCCUCAGUGGUUUUAGAUUUUUUUGGCUUUUGGAUUGUUUCAGAGGGGACCCAAAUGCUCAGAACCGUGCCUGGUUCGAUCUCGAUUGUGUGAGGUCGAAUCCCGGCCAUUUUCACCAGGCCAUACAACAGUGACCUUAGAGCUGCAACCAGGUUCACCAUCACCGUGCGUGUUAGUGCUACGGACAGCAAGUGAGAGGGAAUUUAACCAAGGAAAAAAGAGCGUAGGUGUUUGGCUGUUCCGCUGCUUCCUUGAUCAACUAUUUUGUGACCACUCAUUUUCAAUUAUAAAUUUCUUAUUUUCACAUUGUAAAUUUUAUCUCAUCCUGAUCUUCGUUUAUGUUUUCAUGUAUUUUAGAGUGUAUUUGAUUUGCUGUUUUCAAUUUUUAGUUUUUGUAAAAUAUUAAAAAUGUGUUUG
Molecule: long non-coding RNA, 1198 nt
Filed under: Olea europaea subsp. europaea
Lineage: Eukaryota; Viridiplantae; Streptophyta; Magnoliopsida; Lamiales; Oleaceae
Source: RNAcentral